AAAUUUCAUUCACCAUAAGGGAACACAAACUGGGCCUGUUAGAGUGCCUAGCCCAAUUCAUUUUAAUCGGCCUAAUAGUGUAAAAUCUUAAGAAGGAAAACAGAACGUCUAGCAAACUCAUAUCAUUAUGAAAUUGAAACACCCUUAUGCUAAAUAAAACUAAUGAGAAUAUUAAAAAGUUCCAGUUUGGAGUAAUUUGAAAUAUAUUAAUAAACCAUUCAAUCAAUUACAACCAUCAUUUACAAACUUGCAUCAAAAGCUCCACUGUCCUGAAUAGUGAGAAAGACUUUUUGAAAUUCGAUCAAAUCGAUCGAGAAUCUCAUCAUCUGUUAGAUGAAGAAUUCAUACUAACUCUUAUACUUUUUGCUUUCAGCAUUGGCAACGAACAACAGUAGAAUUAUACGUUCAACCUCUGCCACUCUUGAAUUUAUGAACCAUACACUUCACAGAGACGGAUCUGACUAACUGGUGGUCAAAUUCAUCCCUUGAUCAUUCUUUAACCUUCCUUUAAGCGUGAAUCAACAUUAAUACCAAAAAGAAAGAACUGAUUUUUCAACGUGAUAACUAUUAUUUCCUCAUAAAGUUGUCAUACACCUAGAAAACUAUGAUAGAGCUUGUAGUAAAUUACUUCACGACAGCUUAAAGAGAAGGAGUUAUGAUCAAAUGAAUGUCAGCAACAUGCAGAAUAACAGUAGCAGUACAGCAACAACAAAAACCCCAGAAUAUUGGACUAAACCAACUUUUAAUAGCAGAGAUAGUGAUCUAGGCAAACAUGGAGCUAUUUCUGUUUUCAAAUCCACUUUAAAACUCAGGAAAAAGAAGAAAAAUUAGUGUAAAAAAUAAACCUCGUUUUCUAGAAUUUCUUGUAUUUCAAAGAUGCCUUUUAGGUUGCGUAUGCUGAUGAUCAUGUGUGUGUGAGUGAGUGAGUGAGGGUCUAUUCCUUUUAUAAGGUGUAUAAGGAUAAGCAUAAUAAAGAAUAUUCCACCCUAAUUUUCAAAAAUGUCAGAUAGCACAGUAUCUUUUUAACAUAUUUGGUACAACUGUCUGUCCUUUUUACCUAAAUUCAACAUUUUCAUACUAAAAUUAAGGAUAUCUGUCUAAUACUAGAACCUUUUGAUAUUUUUCUCAUAUUAAGUUCCCGAUUUACCCUUUUAAGUUCUGUUUAUUGCAACUUCAACUCCCCUAAUUUAUGUUUGUUAUCAACUAAGGUUUCUAUUGAAUUCUGAAUAGCAACCAAGAACACAUAUCAAAUCAGACCUCAUACAAAGCAAAUCAAAACUGCACGGCACGUAAUGUAAUUACAACCUUAGGGUUAAUUAAAUAACAACAUGUAAUCUAUAUUAACUAACAUGCAUUUAAGUAGUCUAAAUACAUAACUAAUUUAGUUAGGCUAAUUCAAUUAGACUAAAUAAAAUGUGGUUAGCUAAGUAGUAAUGCAGUUAACUAAAGAAUUAUGCAACUAGUUUAAACUAGUCUUAUCUAAUUAAGCAAACAGUAACAAGGAAUCAAGGCAACACAAACAGAUAAAACAAAACCUUAAAAAUAGAAAAAUAAAAAAAGAAUAAACAAAGGCAAAGAGAAAAGAACAAGGCACUGUUUUUUGCUGGAAGAUACAUAAGCGACUAAGCCAAAUCGGAGCUUGGUUGGCAAUUUAGACUUGGUCGGAAUCUGGUAAACCUUAAAGCGAACCAAAACUGAUGGUAAUCGAUUAUUAUUAACGAGAAUAAUCUAUUAGCAUAAAUUUUGGCUCAAAUCGGGCCUUAGAUACCAUAGAAAUCAAAAGGGAGAAAGGGUUAGGGUUUUGAAUUUCUUUUAAAAUUUCAGAUAUGAAAUUUGGUAAAAUCGGGUGAUUAUUUAUGGAAAAUAGUAGGGGGAUAGUGAUGAGAGGAGGCUGAAAAAUUGUAGGGUUAAAUUUUGGGAAAGUUUGGAGACGGGCCGCCGCCAAGCGGAGGUGAGAUAGACGAGUUGAUGAGGGGAGAAGGGGGAAGUGCAUCAGCUCUCUAGAGUUAGAGGGUUCGACAAUUUUAAGGGAAAUGGAGAUCAGUUU
This 2047-nucleotide long non-coding RNA is filed under the name Nicotiana benthamiana. RNAcentral describes it as "long non-coding RNA (NBEN_LNC031190)". The record is from RNAcentral. Lineage: Eukaryota; Viridiplantae; Streptophyta; Magnoliopsida; Solanales; Solanaceae.